AUUGAACGCUGGCGGCACGCCUAACACAUGCAAGUCGAGCGGUAACAUGUUUAGUAGCAAUACUAGAUGAUGACGAGCGGCGGACGGGUGAGGAACACGUAGGGAUCUGCCUCUAAGCGGGGGACAACCAAGGGAAACUUUGGCUAAUACCGCAUAACAUCGAGAGAUCAAAGCUGCCGCAAGGUGGCACUUAGAGAGGAACCUGCGUCCGAUUAGCUAGUUGGUAGGGUAAUAGCCUACCAAGGCGAUGAUCGGUAACUGGUCUGAGAGGACGACCAGUCACACUGGGACUGAGACACGGCCCAGACUCCUACGGGAGGCAGCAGUGGGGAAUCUUGGACAAUGGGGGCAACCCUGAUCCAGCGAUGCCGCGUGAGUGAAGAAGGCCCUCGGGUCGUAAAGCUCUUUAGGUUGGGAAGAAGGUUGUAGGUGGAUAAUACUUACAACUUGACGGUACUAACAGAAUAAGCACCGGCAAACUCUGUGCCAGCCGCC
RNAcentral lists this ribosomal RNA (495 nucleotides) under uncultured bacterium. RNAcentral's name for it is "bacterial SSU rRNA". It matches the Rfam family "Bacterial small subunit ribosomal RNA", at positions 30 to 516 of the family's 1533-position model. The record is from RNAcentral.